CACAGGGGGGCUGGAUUGGCUAGCUGAGAUUGAGAACCUUAAUUCUUUGACCCUAAAACCUGAACUGGAUAAUGCCAGCGUAGGAAGUUGUUUAUUUAAA
RNAcentral lists this non-coding RNA (100 nucleotides) under uncultured Clostridium sp. Lineage: Bacteria; Bacillati; Bacillota; Clostridia; Eubacteriales; Clostridiaceae. The record is from RNAcentral.